RNAcentral lists this transfer RNA (73 nucleotides) under Paramuricea clavata. RNAcentral describes it as "tRNA-Ser". It matches the Rfam family "tRNA". From Rfam's summary of the family: Transfer RNA (tRNA) molecules are approximately 80 nucleotides in length. Their secondary structure includes four short double-helical elements and three loops (D, anti-codon, and T loops). The record is from RNAcentral. Lineage: Eukaryota; Metazoa; Cnidaria; Anthozoa; Malacalcyonacea; Plexauridae.
GACUCUGUAGCUCAGUUGGUUAGAGCUCUGCACCGGAAUCGCAGGGCCGCAGGUUCGAUCCCUGCCAGAGGAU